RNAcentral lists this ribosomal RNA (253 nucleotides) under uncultured bacterium. Its description in RNAcentral is "partial 16S ribosomal RNA". It matches the Rfam family "Bacterial small subunit ribosomal RNA", at positions 524 to 776 of the family's 1533-position model. The record is from RNAcentral.
UACAGAGGGUGCAAGCGUUGUUCGGAAUUAUUGGGCGUAAAGCGCGUGUAGGCGGCUUGGCAAGUCGGGUGUGAAAGCCCUCAGCUCAACUGAGGAAGUGCGCCCGAAACUGCUGAGCUUGAGUGCCGGAGAGGGUGGCGGAAUUCCCCAAGUAGAGGUGAAAUUCGUAGAUAUGGGGAGGAACACCGGUGGCGAAGGCGGCCACCUGGACGGCUACUGACGCUGAGACGCGAAAGCGUGGGGAGCAAACAGG